UGGGGAAUCUUGGACAAUGGGCGCAAGCCUGAUCCAGCCAUGCCGCGUGGAUGAUGAAGGCCCUAGGGUUGUAAAAUCCUUUCGUUGGGGACGAUAAUGACGGUACCCAAAGAAGAAGCUCCGGCUAACUUCGUGCCAGCAGCCGCGGUAAUACGAAGGGGGCUAGCGUUGUUCGGAUUUACUGGGCGUAAAGCGCGUGUAGGCGGGUCGUUAAGUUGGGGGUGAAAUCCCGAGGCUCAACCUCGGAACUGCCUUCAAAACUGGCGACCUGGACUCAAGUAGAGGCAAGUGGAAUUGCGAGUGUAGAGGUGAAAUUCGUAGAUAUUCGCAGGAACACCAGUGGCGAAGGCGACUUGCUGGACUUGUAGUGACGCUGAGACGCGAAAGCGUGGGGAGCAAACAGGAUUAGAUACCCGGGUAGUCCCUGAGCGGGCUGGCAAGGCGCAU
RNAcentral lists this ribosomal RNA (447 nucleotides) under uncultured bacterium. Its description in RNAcentral is "bacterial SSU rRNA". It matches the Rfam family "Bacterial small subunit ribosomal RNA", at positions 355 to 825 of the family's 1533-position model. The record is from RNAcentral.